UCUGAGCGGGGCCUGGGCAGCGGCGGGGCCGUAGGACCUCGCGCUGCGUUCGCGGGCUCCGGGGCGGGGGCGGCGGCGGCGAAGCCCCCUCCCCGGGGAGGCGGGGCCUGAGCGAGCUCCCCAGCCGGGGAGCGGCGGCGGCUGGGAAGGAUGCAUCAGAAGCUGCUGAAGAGCGCUCAUUACAUCGAGCUGGGCAGCUACCAGUACUGGCCAGUCCUGGUGCCCCGCGGCAUCCGUCUCUACACCUACGAACAGAUCCCCGUGUCCCUCAAGGACAACCCGUACAUCACCGACGGCUAUCGGGCCUACCUGCCCUCCAGGCUGUGUAUCAAAAGUUUGUUUAUUUUAUCUAAUGAGACGGUAAAUAUCUGGAGUCAUUUGCUGGGUUUCUUUCUCUUCUUUACACUGGGAAUAUAUGACAUGACAUCAGUGUUACCUUCGGCAAGUGCAUCCAGAGAAGAUUUUGUAAUUUGUUCUAUUUGUCUUUUCUGCUUCCAGGUCUGUAUGCUUUGCUCUGUGGGCUAUCAUCUCUUUUCUUGCCAUCGAUCAGAAAAAACCUGUCGAAGAUGGAUGGCAUUAGAUUAUGCAGGAAUUUCUAUUGGAAUACUGGGCUGCUAUGUCUCUGGUGUAUUUUAUGCUUUUUAUUGUAAUAACUACUGGCGUCAAGUGUACUUGAUCACAGUGCUUGCCAUGAUCCUGGCAGUGUUCUUCGCACAGAUCCAUCCCAAUUACCUCACCCAGCAGUGGCAGAGGCUCCGUUCUAUCAUCUUCUGUUCUGUUUCGGGAUACGGAGUGAUCCCAACUCUUCACUGGGUUUGGCUCAAUGGAGGAAUCGGUGCUCCUAUUGUACAGGACUUUGCACCCCGUGUAAUUGUGAUGUAUGUGAUUGCUCUUCUUGCUUUCCUAUUCUACAUUUCCAAAGUUCCAGAACGGUACUUUCCAGGACAACUAAACUACCUCGGAUCAAGCCACCAAAUAUGGCAUAUCCUUGCAGUAGUGAUGUUAUAUUGGUGGCAUCAGUCAACAGUGUAUGUCAUGCAGUACAGACAUAGCAAGCCUUGCCCUGACUAUGUUUCACAUUUGUGAAUUCAGAAUCAGGAAUGAAGAAUUCAGGGACUGUCACAUCUUAUGGCAUCCCACCUGGACAAAGUAACCGAUUUGAAGAUUGUGACUGACUGGCAUAAAGGUGUGCAACUCCAUUUGGCAGGUACCUACCUGGAGAUAUCUUUGCCCUGUACUAAACACGAAGGGGCAAAGUCUACACUUCUGGAUCCCUGCCAGUUGCUGAGCUGAGUAGGAGUUAAUGCCAAGAGUCCGUCGGAAGUAUCUACUGUUUAGAAGGAAAUGGAGCAGCACCAAAGGGGUCUAAUUCAACUGACUGGGACUGUUGGGACUGAUGUGAAGCGAUGCUUUGCACCACAAGUUCUGUAAAGGGCACGGCACCAAAAUCAUCCAUUUUCAAUGCGUCUGCACUAUGGAAUGAGCCAUGCAGAGAACUCGGUCGUGGCCGCCCAGGCAGGACGGGGUUGUGGUCGGCACGGAUGUCACUCAGGCCCUGAUGUGGAGGGUGCCAUGGCAGAUCUGGAGGAUGGAAGGGCUUGGCACCAAAGGGGUCCAACAGAUUCUCCUCGGGUUGCAGGCCGUUCCCUCUGUCUCUCCCGUCGGUCAGUGCAACACUAAUGUUCUCCUUGGAGUCCGAGAUGGUUAAAAAUUCAUUGCUGCUUUGAGAGUCUCGGCGGCCCACCUUUUUGUGCCUGCGAGCCCUCUCUGGAGUGCGGUAGGUAGGCUUCACAGUCUUCUUUGUGCUGGUUGGCGUGCCAUGAUGCCGCUUCCCGUUACUUUUGGACAGAUCCUGCUUGGUGCGCCUUUGGCGAGAAGACAGUUUCUGUAAGCUCCGCUGCUUGACUUUCUGCUGUUGACUCCCAGUUAUUUCCUCAAAGGGCACAAGCCCAAAAAGGUCCUCGCUGCUGUCACUUUUACUUGUUGAUGUGGGAAAAGGCUGAAAUGGAGUGGAGCCAAAUAUAUCUACACUUUUGGGGCCACCAGGGAGAGCAUGUGCCUCAGGACCCACUCCAUGGCAGUCUUGUACACUGACCUUCUUGCUAAAGGGUGCCUUUGUGAAUACAUCAAAUUCCUCCUGCUCUAGACCCACAGCAGGACACAGGGUCUGCUGACAGAAGUUCUUUUCAUUCUCUCCUUGGUGAGGCUGCUGAGGACGCACCGCGAAGAAGGGGACAGCGCCGAACACAUCAAAUUCCAGUUUGGGAGCCUCCACUCCAACAUCGGAGGGUAACCGGGUUGGGGUGAGAAGUGUGUCGGUGGGACCUGGUGCUGAUCCACUGCCAGAUUUGUCUCUGUAGACAGGGCUCACGUCACUGUACUUCACUUUGGCCUGCUCAUAAUCAGAAUCAGAGCUAUGUUUCUCUUCUUCCUCGUCUUCAGAAUCCAUGAGGAGAGGCCUGUGGCCCAGAUUUUCUGGUUCAGUAUCAUCGUCGUUAAAAUCUCCCUGCUCUCCCUGAAGAACUUCCUCAUCCUCCUGUUCCUCCUCUUCACUGCUCUUGGGAGAAGGAGGAUCUGACUCAAAAUCACUUUCAGACUCAUCAUUCCGCUUUUGCACUUGACCCUGUACCAGUGAAUUCUCUGAGGUUUUCUUUCCAGUCCGGUGGUCUUUAGAUACUGGACUUGCUUUUCUAUUCUUGAUAGGGUUUGCAGAACUAUUUUCUUGAUUCGUAGAUGAAUGUUCAGUUUUCUUUUCCGGAGAACCUGCAGAUUCAAAGAAAAAUUAUUAUAGCUUUCUAGUACAUUUCAAGAACCAUUUGCACUGAACAGUAUGCACUAACACGAGGCAUUACAAAUCCCUCAUACCAGUUCGCUUAGAGGAAGAAAUAGCAUCAAUUCUUUGGUCAUUAGGCUUAGGGAAUGCACUUGUCCUCAACUAGAUGGUUAAGUCCUCUAGUGCAGAGAGAUUUCCUGGUCUCUGUACCCUACACACCACCUACUCAUAGGCCCUCAAUGCCAGCUAAGUUUUAGUUACAGUACCCAAAGAGGACUCUGAAUAUAGAACACAGACCAAUUUUCUUCACCUUCAAAAUAAGAUUAUUCAACGAAUCGCCUCUACUCAGAAUCCCACAUUUACCUGCUUGUAUUUCUACUCCAUUAUAAAAUUUUCCCAAAAAAGAUCAACAAGCAUGAAUAGCUUGUCUGUUCAGUUAGAUGUUUCACUGGAAUUUUUUAAAUUAGCAUUCUGAUUUCCUUAUAAACGAGUAUCUUAUUAGAUAGGCUAACAUGAGUGCAUACCCACAAUCUGAUCAAAGCCAAGGACUGGGUACUGAACUGAGUGAGAGUGUACCAAGGACAACUGCCUUCUCAAGAUGACCUAUAUUCCUUUAACUAUCAUAUCUUUACUACUAAACAUUACAUUAAAAGCAUGAUAUCUUAAAAAAAAAAAAAACUAUCAGUAUGUUCACUGUAUGACGGGUAGUGAAACUGCAUCAAAUAAAUAUAGUGCUUUACAAUUUCAAUGUCUGGUAUAUAACAAAGAGUGUAUUUGUUACAUGAAAAUAUAAUGCCCUCCCAAUACAGUAGUGUAUUUAAUGGAUAUUCCAGAGGGAGGGAUCAAUCUGAACUGAUGCAACCACAUAACCAAUCAUCCCUUCCCUUCCUUUGACUAAGAUCAGAUAUUUUCAAAAUAAUAGGGUUGGAAGUAUAGUCUGUAGCCAAGAAAACUAAUCAGCUUACAAUGGAAGGACCAUUACUCUCCUGUUACUAACAUGGUCCCUAUGGUAUAUGACACCUCUGAGUUCUUACCUUCUCUUUGAAAGUCAGCUCCGUUGUCUUCCCACCUCUCUAACUGUUCCUUCUUGGUCAUAUUUGUAGAUUGAUGUUACAUAUUUGUAGAUUGAUGCAGUUUCACUACCCAUCAUACAGUGAACAUACUGAUAGUUUUUUUUUAAGAUAGCAUGCUUUUAAUGUAAUGUUUAGUAGUAAAGAUAUGAUAGUUAAAGGAAUAUAGGUCAUCUUGAGAAGGCAGGUGUCCUUGGUACACUCUCACUCAGUUCAGUACCCAGUCCUUGGCUUUGAUCAGAUUCUCUUUCACUAACAUCUCUGCAUACAUGUAUGUUCCUCAGGAUUCUGUCCUCGGCUUUUUUCCUCUGCGUGUCUUCCCAUGGUCUUAAAUAGUUGUAUGUUAAUUGCCACAUACACCAUCAUGACUGAAUCUCUAAUAGUGACCAUGCAUACUCAGUCAUCUAAUAGUUAGGAAUAUGUAUCGUACCAUUACUUCAAAUUCAGUAAUUCAAAAGAGAUAUCUUUCCUCUUAAAAUGUGCUCCUCACCCUUCCCUCUGAAUUAAUGAACAAUACUUCUGUCAACUAGUUCUGCAAAUCAGCAAAAAUCUGGAAAUCAUCUUCCUUCCUCACCAGUGUUUUUAAAUUCUCUUAUAUCUGUUCCUUCCUCUUCCUCUGCCAGUUGUCUAUUUCAUUUCCUCUAUCCUUGUCUGUCUGUCUCCAGUACCAUGUCCAUCAGACCGCUCCUCUCCAGUGCCACCAGAAUGACUUUUCUGAAACAUUACAUAGCUCAGCUUAAAACUUCAGGGGCUCUCUGAAGUCCCAACCCUUAGCCCAGCACAGGGUGUCCUUCUCAAUCUGGAUUCUAUCCUACCACAUCUUUAGCCUCAGACCCUGAUGUAUUCUUCAUGGGUAUUCUUCAUUAUUGCCACACCCAGCUUGUCCCUACUCAAACUCAGGAACAGAUUCAAAUUUUUAAAAAGUUUUUGGGAUAUCUUGCUAUCCAACAUCUUAAUGUUUGCUAUCAGAAACUGCGGAACCUAAUAGAUUUGGGUUUCCUGCUGUUUUAACAUCUCAUACAACCUCUUGGUAAAAACAUCCUUCUAGUUUCCUGCUCCUGUCUGACUUGCCUAGUGGUCCUGGCUAUAUUCCAUGCCAGAGCCCUUCAAAGACACCCCUUGAAAAAUACCCAUAUUUGGGGGUCCUAAUGAACUCAGUACAAGCCUAAAUUGUAGCAGCUACUGUACUGUAUUAUAAUUAUUGGUUUACUUGUCUGUUUUCCCUACUUGAUUAUGAGCUCUUAGACACAGUCCUAUUUAUCAUUUACCUCAUUUAUCAUUCCUUUCUACCCUAGCAAGUGUUGAAUCAAUAUUUGUUGAAUGAAACAAUAAGUGACUACUCUGAGCUCAUAGCUAUAGACACAUACUCAGUAUACUCAGAAUACAAUAAAGAAGGUAACAUAAAAAAAAUGAACUCUUUACAUUCAGUCACUGCAUUUUUAAUUUAACAAUAUAUUUUUAUAGAGCACUUUCCUACAUGCUAUAUGCUGAUCAUACAUUAAUGAAUAAAAUAAGUACAGUCUCUGCCUUCAAGAGUUUAUAAUCAAGUGUGGGAGAGUAUAAAUAAACAAAUUGUGACGGGCUCUCUGAAAUAACAGAGCAGUGGUGCAAGUCAUGGAGAGGGGGGAGGGGGGAGGGAUACAUAAGCCUACAGUCAGCAGAGGCUUCCCCUAAGGAGGAUGGUUAGGACUGAACAGUGAAGAUGAGCCAGCUAUGCAAAGGACAGGCAAAAAGCUGCUCCAAGGAAAAGCUAUGGCAUGUGUGAAGGCCAAUGCAGAAAGAAGUUGGCAUGUUUGGGGAACUGAAAAUAGGUCAGUGUAGCUGGAGUACAGUGGCAAGACUACCAUACAAGAUGAGGUAGGAAAGAGAGGGGAAGGACCAACCUGUGAAUGUCCCUUUAAGGCCAUUAUAAGGAGUCUGGAUUUUGUGCUAAGUUCAGUGAGUAAUGGGGAAGCCAUUACAAGGCUUUAUUUAAAAUGGGUGUCAUGUUCAGAUUUAUAUUUGAAACAUAAGUGACCACUGGGUAGAAAAAAAGGCUGAAGAGAGAGGUAUAAAAGUGAGGAGAUCAGGGAAGAGGAAACUGUAGAAAUAAAGCCAGAGAUUCUGGUGGCCUGGAUGACAGUGGGGGCCGGGCAAGUAGAAGUGAAGAAUUAGAGAUUGAGGAGGGAAACUCUGGAAGGAUGGUAGCGCCAUUAAUGCAGACAGAAGAGUGAGUAAAGAAUACGUUGGAAAGUAGAGGAAGAUUUCAAGAAUUUAGUUUUGGGGUGCCUGGGUGGCUCAGUCGGUUGAGUGUCCGACUUCGGCUCAGGUCAUGAUCUCGCGGUUCGUGAGUUCGAGCCCCGCAUCGGGGUCUGUGCUAAUAGCUCAGAGCCUGGAGCCUGCUUCGGAUUCUGUGUCUUCCUCUCUCUCUACCCCUCCCCCACUCAUGCUCUGUCCCUGUCUCAGAAAUAAAUAAACAUUAAUUUUUUUUUUUAAUUUAGUUUUGAACACAAAGUUUGAGUUACCUAUGAAGCAUUUAAGUACAAUGGUUAGUUUUUGACCGGAGACGAGAUUUGGGAGUCCUCACCUCCAGAGGGGUAAGUAGAGAGGGUUACAAGUCUGAAGGAAAUCAUUUAGGAAGUGAGUACAAAGCAGAGAAAGGGGACCCAACACUGAGCCUUCAGGUCUAAUACAUUUGGAGGUAAGCAGAGGAACCUACAAAGCUACAUGCAGAGUACGGAGAGAAGGACCCAAAACCAGGUGAGCGCAAUGUCACAGAAGCCAAGAGAGGAGUGCUUCCGGAGACAGAGUAGACACCUGGGCUGGGUGAGGCAGAGAGCUGCAAUGAACUGAGGACAGACAAAGGCCACUGGCUCUGGCUGACACAUGCACUUUGUCGGCAACCUUAAAGUGAGGAGUAGGGCUGAGGAGGAGGGGGAAAGAAGACACGGAGAAUUCCAUCAGGUUCUACUUAAGUAUAAUAAUCUUCAUCCAUUAUUCAUCUGCCAGUUCUAUGGAACAAGCCAAGAGCUAAAUGUUGUAUCUUUACAAAUUUAUAAUAGGCUUAUCUUAGAUCCUAAGAGAUUAAAACCAAAUCAAAUGCAGAUUCUCAAGUUUGACUUCUCCUCCAUAGAGCUUACUUCUGACAUUAAAAACAAAGAUUACUUUUAGAUUAGCUGCAGAAUUCAUUUUCAUGAAUUUUUAUUCAAAAGCAAAAAAUGUAACAGCAAAGAUUUAUAAUCAUUCCUCGCUUUGGGACAGUUCCUCUAAGAUACAGUUUAACUUACUACCUCAAGCUCCUUACCCAUCCAGAGAGAGCCACAAUGUGUACCCCCUCAUGCCUGCUCAUGGACACCUCCAGCAACACUCCAGAAUGCUUCCUAAAGUAUAUUCUGCAGAACGUUAUUCCUAUAAUAAGAACUAAACAGCUCUGUGGUCCCAGGUACCUGAGUUUAUAAAAUGCUACACUAUAUAAUGUGCCUCCACUUGGAAAAUGCUCAUUAAGGGUGCUGAUAAGUCCUAUGCAAAAGAAUCUGCUUAAUCUUAUGAAACCAGGAUUUCCCAAAUUUGCUUCACUACAAACACUUGUAUUCACAAGUAACACUAUUAACUUCAUAAACAAUUUUGCAAAAUGCACUCUGGGAAAAUACUACUUCUACAAUUUCUCUGGGAAAUUCCAUUUCUAGGGCACAGGGUGUCAUUCCUAAAGAUUUUCUGGAAAAUUUAACAAGGACAAUUUACAAAAUUUAAAAGGACAGAGAAACAGACAGAGACGGAGACAGAGUCUGAGCUGUCAGCACAGAGCCUGAUGCAGGGCUUGAAGCCACAAACCGUGAGAUCAAGACCUGAGCCAAAGUCAAAUGUCCAACCGACUGAGCCACCCAGGCGCCCCAACUUUAUUUUUGCUAUUCUUCUAUUUUAAUCCCAGUCUUCUAAAUUAACUGUUUUCCUUUACCCAAUUGGCCACUAGUGCUUUCCAAAACACAACUGUCACUUCCUACUCAUUCUGUCUGCACUGUCCGCUUCUCAAAGUUGUAUUCACAGAGAUACAGAUUUCUUGGUAAUAAAGUGCUAUAUAUAGAUCUA
Felis catus (domestic cat) is the source of this 7908-nucleotide RNA transcript. It is a transcript of the gene named progestin and adipoQ receptor family member 3, with no coding region annotated. The transcript is spliced from 8 exons. Lineage: Eukaryota; Metazoa; Chordata; Mammalia; Carnivora; Felidae. The record is from RefSeq and is a predicted model, not a curated record.